This 332-nucleotide ribosomal RNA is filed under the name Planctomycetota bacterium. Its description in RNAcentral is "bacterial SSU rRNA". It matches the Rfam family "Bacterial small subunit ribosomal RNA", at positions 1 to 346 of the family's 1533-position model. The record is from RNAcentral. Lineage: Bacteria; Pseudomonadati; Planctomycetota.
UUCAAGUGAAGAGUUUGAUCCUGGCUCAGAUUGAACGCUGGCGGCAUGGCUAAAGCAUGCAAGUCGAGCGAGAACCGGGCUUCGGCCCGGGGACAGCGGCGAACGGGCGAGGAACACGCUCCUUACGUGCCCCGAGGUGGGGGAUAGGUCGGGGAAACCCGGCGUAAUACCCCAUGAGCUCUACGGAGGAAAGCCGCAAGGCGCCUUGGGAGCGGGGAGCGUCCUAUCAGGUAGUUGGUGAGGUAACGGCUCACCAAGCCGAAGACGGGUAGCGGGUGUGAGAGCAUGACCCGCCGCAUCGGGACUGAGACACUGCCCGGACUCCUACGGGA